GGGUAAUACCUACUGGAGGACCGAACAAGUGGGUGUUAAAAAACCCUUUGAUGAACUGUGGAUAGCGGUGAAAUUCCAAUCGAACUCGGAGAUAGCUGGUUCUAUCCGAAAUACAUUUAGGUGUAGCCUUGCAAUUAGCUUACUGGAGGUAGAGCACUAUUUGGUCUAGGGGCCCUUCAAGGGUUACCAAAAUCAGAUAAACUCCGAAUGCCAGCUAAGUAUGUGCAGGAGUCAGACGGUGAGUGAUAAGAUCCAUCGUCAAAAGGGGAACAGCCCAGAUCACCAGUUAAGGUCCCUAAAUAUAUGCUAAGUGGAAAACGUUGUGAAGGUGCAUAGACAACUAGGAGGUUGGCUCAGAAGCAGCCACCCUUUAAAGAGUGCGUAAUAGCUCACUAGUCGAGUGCUCUUGCGCGGAUAAUGUACCGGGGCUAAGCAUAUUACCGAAACUGUGGAUGCGUAAGCAUGGUAGGAUAGCGUAAUUAACGCGAUGAAGGAUGACCGUAAGGACAUGUUGGAGCGUUAACUAGUGAGAAUUCCGGUAUGAGUAGCGAAAGAUAGGUGAGAAUCCUAUCCACCGAAUGAGUAAGGUUUCCCCCGGAAGGCUCGUCCGCGGGGGGUUAGUCGGGACCUAAGGCGAGGCUGAAAAGCGUAGUCGAUGGACAACAGGUUGAUAUUCCUGUAC
This 682-nucleotide ribosomal RNA is filed under the name Oenococcus oeni. RNAcentral's name for it is "bacterial LSU rRNA". It matches the Rfam family "Bacterial large subunit ribosomal RNA", at positions 754 to 1444 of the family's 2925-position model. Lineage: Bacteria; Bacillati; Bacillota; Bacilli; Lactobacillales; Lactobacillaceae. The record is from RNAcentral.